Small nucleolar RNA from Callithrix jacchus (white-tufted-ear marmoset), 101 nucleotides. The record is from Ensembl. NCBI's taxonomy places the organism in Eukaryota, Metazoa, Chordata, Mammalia, Primates, Cebidae.
AUUCUUUUGUAUUUCAUAAGGGUCACUGGGUUUUUAGGCUUAUGUGUGAGAUGUGCUUCCCUCAAAAACUGUUAUGACUGUGGCAUGUUACCUGUGUGAUG